CUUCUUGAUGGCAGCAGAUAAUUAGCACUCUCUCUUUAAAUAGAAUCUGCAUCUAAAGUAGACCUGCAGUCAUGCCUAGAGAAAAAUUUGAGGGAACUAGUCCAAUGCUGAGUUUCUUCAGAGCUGCAUGGAGAGAGAAGGGUAACAAAAUAUCCUAAGAAACAUAGCCCUUCAUCACUCCAUACCCUUAAACACUUACAGGACCAUGGAUGGUGAUCUUCUCCACAGGCUAAAAUAAAUUCUGGUGGAGCACAGAAUGUUACUCUGUCUCCUAGAAUGAAGUACAGUGACGUGAUCUCAGCUCACUGCAACCUCUGGCUGUCGAGCUUCAAGUGAUUUGAUUCUCAUGACUCAGCCUCCCAAGUAGCUGGAAUGACAGGACCCCAGGCUCCGGCUUCACCGAGAUAUGGCUGUAUCUGCUGAUUUUAAGAGGACCGUCCAAAGGAGUCCUUGGAAGCCACCGUGCUUCACAGAGAUUCUCAAUAAGGGAGCUGAGCAACAUCCCAUAAGAGAGAAGGGAAUGCAGGGGAAUGUUCCACAUGAAUGUUCACCAAAGGGUGACCGCAGUAGAGGAGGCUUUUAAUAAUCAAGUUGUUUGGAAGAUUCAUUCUGUCAGUCAGUCAGCUUCUUUCUCCAGACAGUUCUGUCAUCUCCCAACAGAUUCAUGGACAAAGUGGUCAUGGUGGCAGGAACUGAAGUUGUGCAUGGGCUCAGCAACAUGGACGACACUCACCAAGAGUGACCUGGCUACAACCUCUGCUGAGCACCCAACCAGCCAGCAGCAGAGAUCAGCACUGAGUCUCUGACAGGGACAAUUCCCCAGAGUGAUUGGCCUGCUUAUUUAGUGGCAACUUGACUACACUGGACUGUUUCCAUCAUGGAAGAGGCAGUGUUUUGUUCUUACUGGAAUAGACACUUACUGUGAACACAGAUUUGCUUUCCUCUUAUCCUCCCCCCCAAAAAAAGGAUGUGCUUUUUCUAAAUGCAAUGCUUCUGCAAAAAGCAAAAUAAUAAUAAUAAUAAUACCAUCUGUGGACUUGAAGACUACCUUUUCCACCAUAAUGGUAUUCCCACAUAACGUUACUUCUGAGUAAGGAACUCACUUCACAGCAAACGAAGUGUCGCAGUGGGCUCAUGCCUAUGCAAUUGACUGGACUAACCAUAUUCCCCAUCAUCCUGAAGCAGCAGGCUUGACAGCUCAGUGGAAUGGCCUUGUGAAGACUCAAUUAUGAUGGCAGCCAGGUGGCAAUACUUUGCAGGACUGGGGAAGCAUCCUCCAGGAGGACGUGCAUGCUGUAAAUCAGCAUCAAAUAUACAUACUGUUUCUCCGGUAGCCAGGAGUCACGGAUCCAGAAAUCAGGGGAUAGAAAUGGGGGUGACACCACUCACUAUUGCCAUAGGUGAUCCGCUAGCAAAAUGUUUGCUUCUGUUCCUGUGACCUGAUGCUCAGCUGGUCUAGAAGUCUUAGUUAGAAAGGAAGGAAUGCUUCCACCGGAGAUUCAACGAUUCCAUUGAAUUACAAGUUAAAACUGCCACCCUGCCACUUUGGUCUCCUCUUACCUCUGAACUAACAGGCAAAUAAGGGAGUGUUGUACUGGUUGGGAUGAUUGAUCCUGAUUAUCAAAGGGAAAUUGGGCUGCUACUGCACAACAGAAGACAACGUAUAUUUGGAAUACAAGAGAUUCCUUAGGGCACCUAUUAGUACUACCAUGUCCUAUGAUUAAAGUCAAUGGAGAACUACAACCCAAUUCAGGAAGAACUGCUAAUGGCCCAGCUUUCAGAAAUGAAGAUUGGGGUGACCUACCAAGCAAAGAGCCAUGGCCAGCUUAGGUGCUUGCUGAGGGCAAAAGGAAUAUGUCAUAGGUAGUGGAAGAAGGUAACUAUAAACCAGCUAUGACCAUGUGACCAGAUGCAGAAAUGAGGACUAUAUGGCGGCCUUCGGGAAGAGCAGGCUGGAGCUCUCAGGUAAGAACUAACUGCAAUCCACAGGCAGAAUUUCUUCUUCAGGAAAACCAGUUCUGUAUUCGUACCUUUCAACUGUUUGUGUCAGGCCACCCAGAGUAUUAGGAAUAAUCUCCUUUACAUAAAAUAAACUAAUUGAAGAUGCUAAUCACAUCUACAACACCUAGAGUCACGUUUGAUUAAAUAGCUGUGGAAUAUAGCCCAGCCUAGAUGGCACAUAAAACUGGCCAUCACAAGGUAUAAUUAAAGUACAAUAAGCUGCGCAUAUUUAAAGUGUACCUUCUGAUUCAUUUAAACACAUGUGGAAACCCACGAAAUUAUCACCAAAAUCAAGAUACCAAAUUUUUCAUCACCCCCAACAGUUUCUUUGCUCCCCUUUGUAAUCCAUCUUUCCCUCAUCUCAACCCCCCGGCAACCAGUGAUCUUUUCAAUCACUAUAAAUUAGCUGGCAUUUUCUAGAACUUUACAUAAAUGGAAUCAAGUCAGGUGCAACGGCAUAUGCCUAUAGUCCCAGCUACUUCAGUAGCUAAAGCAGGAGGCUCUCUUGGGCUCAAGAAUUUGAAUCUAGCCUGGAAAACAUAGUGGGACUCACCUCUAAAAAUUAAAAACGUUAAACAAUGGAAUCAAACAUUAUGUACUCUUUCUUGCUUCUUGCUUUCAGCAUCAUUAUUUGGAGGUCCAUCCAUGUUGAAGGGGAUGACUAAUCUGUUUCUUUUUCAUGCUGACAGUAUUUCACUGUAUGGCUAUUUCACAGUUGAUUUAUCCCUUCACCUACUGAUGGAUACAUGCGCUGCUUUAAGUUUUGCUUUAUUACAAGUAAAGCUGCUAUGGUCUUUUGUGAAUAAAUUUUUGGACGGACAUUGCUUUUGGUUUUCUCUAGUAAAUACCUAGAAGCGAUGACUCAUAGGUAAACAAACAUGUGGGUGUUUGUUUAACGUUUAAAGAAACUGCCAGCCAAGUGCAGGGGCUCCACGCCUGUAACCCCAUCACUUUGGGAAACCAAGGUGGGCAGAUCACUUGAGCUCAGGAGUUGGAGACGAGCCUGGGCAAGAUGGCGAAACCCCAUCUCUACAAGAAAAAAAAAAUCGCCAAGAUUUAAGCUAUUCUACCUGUGGCUUUAAGUACAUAAAGUAUAUUCUUAGAGUCUCUGUUUCUAGAACUAUUUUCAAAUUUCCUCUUAAAACUUCAUGUUACCAAUUUCAACUUGCCAUCUUAAUAACGAAUGCAAUCAAUUGCUAAGUUAUAAUCUUAAGAUCGUCAAAAUUCCUUUAAGGAAAGAGCAAUUUGAAGCAGUAUUGCACUUCUCCAUACCUAAUGCUUUAGUACUGUUUACUAACAGGUCAGGUAAACAAGGAAAAGCUGCAGUCUGGUAAAGACCACAUAAUUCAAUCACCCAAUCUAAGUACUAUCAGCCAAAAAGCUGAGAUUGGAGCCCUGAUUCUGGCAUUUAAAACUUUUUCUGCUCAGCCUAUAAAUACAGUAAGUGACUCAGCAUACUCAGUUUAUUUGUUACAAAAUCUUAAAACAGCUCUAAUUAAGUUUCAUCUUGAGCCUGCAGCUCACUGCGUUGGCUUAUGGCAAUGAGCAAGCCACUUACAAGUGAUACCAUCACUGCUUGACCAAGACAGACAGAAACAGAAAAAAUUAAAAAGAGAUAGUAUAAUAAGAAAAACAGAAAAGCCGAGAGGAAGAAAAAAAGAGGUAAGGAAGGUUGUAAAACUAAGUCAGAAAAGAGUUAAGCCUAAAGUCGUGAAAAAUGUUAUAGAAGGGAAUUUAUGCAAGUAAGUUGUAUAAAUUUUGUUUUGAAGGUCUAAACAAGUUUUAAAAUGUUAAUUGUAAAAGAAAUUCUGUGUGUAAACAUAUUGGUUAAAAGUUAAAAAGUAUCUAGUUUUUCUGUGAACUAAACAUUAAAAUAAAGCACAACAGGUUUUUCUUAAAGCACUAACCUUCUCUUUAUUACAAAGAUUAUUAUAAGUCUCUUAGCACAGGCAUAACCACUAGAAUUUCCAGUGCACCACCACCAGCAAAGAGACUGCAUCCUCAUCAAAGGAUGGAAAAGAAGAAAAAAUCUCAAGCCAGCCUAAGAAAGACCCUGCAGGAUGAUGCAGCUUCCUCAGACCACAUAAGCCCUGGCCAUCACCUGGAGAAUGCUGAAGAAGACAACACAGAAGGCUAAGCAAAUCCUGCUUAGGAAUUGUUUCUUUUUUAUUCUUUCACUUUACCUGCAACCUGUACCUUCUAUACUCUAUCAAGCCCAUCUUCUAAGAUACUUUUUUCUGCCCUGUAAAUUAAACUAACACCCCUUCACAGCUUCUAACUGCCCAACUGCUUAAUUAAAGAGAAAUUAACAUACCCCCAGGGAAGUUCCUCAUUAAUGGCAUACAGUAAACUAAGAGGCCAAGUAGCACUAAAAGUCAAACAAAAAUUCCUAGUUACACUUACAGCCUACAUAGUCUCAGCCACAGUCAUCCUGGCAACUGCCAGCAUUGCAGUGCCAUCUCUUGCUAAGUCAAUACAAACAGCUGCUUUUGUAAAUAAUCUGGCCAAAAAUGACGGAAAGGUGUACAAAAUCAUCUCUCCUGGUUAAACUCCCAUUCCUCAGAGUUGCUCUUUGAUUGGAAAGAAACUGUUGCUAAUUGUACUCAUAAUCGUCUUACGUUAUUUGUUAAUCCUAGGAUGCAAAGCUGGAAUAAAAGCAAGGACCACCUCGUCUAACAGAGCCAUGGCUGAACCCAUCAGUGGCCGACAGACAAAAAAGCCUAAUGUUAAUAACAAAAGAAGGGGGAGAUUUUGGAAUUAACUUGGAGUGGCUGGCAAAACAUUAGAGAAAUAUUAGGAAAACCUUUUGGAAGGCCAAAAGUUUUUAUUGGGGCAGGCUGAGGGCAACUGGCUCAUUUACAUUAGCAUAGGAAAGAGACAGACAGUAAGAGGCUUUCCCAGUUUAAGCCUGUUUAUCCCACAUCCCUUUGUCUCUACUCUGUUUAUUCAUGUAAAUUUUGUGUUGGAUGGUCCUCUCAGGGAGAGAUCAAAGGAGAAUUACCUGUUAAUAGUGUUUACUCUGAGCCCAGAACCUAAAGCUUUUAUCAUUGGUAAAACCACUCUUUUAACCAUGUUAAUUAUCCACAAGUGUUUUAACUUAGAACCUCUUGUAAAAUCCUUGCCAAAUAAAUGUGUGGAUGGAGAGGGGAUCCUGGUCGAUUGGCUGCAGUCACCUUCUGAAAGUAGCGAACAACCAUCCCUAGCCCACUUGAAUCACUGUAAUGGUGUGAGACUGCAUUCAUUCAACCGCCAUUGAGUCAGGGUCUGCAGGCCAGGCCUCCACAGGUGGUGUAAACGCCUCAGUGGGGAAUCUGGUCAUUGAUCUUUCUGGCUGCUUCAGGCUGAGGAGAGGCUUCAUGGGUAGCGCCAUACCAUGAGUGACCCUGUGGCCAUCCAGGAAUCAAAGGUUAAUCUAAUAUAGAGUUUCCAUCUGAAGCACAAUCUUUCUCUCUCCAGAUCCUCAGUUCCACAAAAGACAAAUCAUAGCAGGACCAAUUUACCAGCAAAAUAAGCGUCAGUCCCUUCUAAUUGGCCUGAUUACCCACAUAAAGUGCAACAGAGAGUCAUGGUCCACAUAGGCUCUCCUAAAUUGGCUUUGCUGGAACCUCUCACAAGGCCAUUUCAGUCAAAGUCCUGAGAAAAUAACCAAUUCCUCUAACUGUGUCCCAUUAUAAGAGAAAACAGCUUCUUAUUGAACUUAUGCAAAUAAACACAUUGCCAGGAAUCAGGAAUAUUCACAAAUAAUUUACAAAUUCUGGAGAAAUUAGGCAGAGAGAAAAAUAUGCUUCAAAUUCUGUUUACAAAACUAUACUCUGCUCAAUGUACUUAAAGCAUAUUUAAAGGCUAUAAAUGACUCAAAAGAAAAAAAAUUCUCCAGACUCUGAAAAACAAACAAAAAAUAAUCAGCAAUAUUUCAAGCAAAAAAAGCCAUAAAAAUUAUUUUAGUCCUCCAUUAGUUUGAUCCAUGCAGUCAAAUCCUGCUCUGCUUCACAAUGGGCUAGCAAUCUUUAGGAACACAUUAGCCUUUCAAUUAGUGUCCUACAAAUUUUCUCUCUAAUCCAGUGGCACAAUUUCCAGAGUUAUAAGAAAUUUGCAUUCAAGAGUUCUUUUCAUGAACCCUUUCAAAGAAUCAACCCUAGACUGUAGCUGAUUAUAUGUCACUUUUUGAGAAGCAUCAAAACAAAAUAACAAUUAUGGAUGACAAAAAUCUUAGGACAGCCAUAGUCAAAGACACAGUUGACAAGCCAAUUUGGUUAUUUCUGUGGCAUACAGCAAUUUAACAUAAUAAUCAUAAUUAUUACUGACAACAUAUAUUAAGACACAUCAGAAUUUCAGGAAUAUCAUAUAAUCCUGGAACACACAUUAACAACAUAUCUAACUAUAACCCAAAGAAAGUUAAAUACCACUUCACAUUUGACAAUGCUUGCUGUAUAAUUCUAGCAUAAAAAAUUAGCCUAAUAAGCCUAACAGAUCUCUCUUGGACUUCAGAGAAUUUAAUAUCCAAAAAAGUUAGUUUGAGAUCAAAAAGACUGAUUUUAGAACUUGAAAUUUUGCUAUUGGAAAGUCUAUCAAAUAUCAAAGGCUUACAACCUUUAAUAUCACAAAAUAGGAUUACAAAUUACUAUAAUAUAGUCAUUUACUUAGCCAAAAUUAUAAUAUGAAAUGUUUACCCUUUUAUAAAGAGAAGUCAGCUUCCUAAACAAUAAGACCUAAUAAAGACAGCAUAAGGCCAAAUAAACCUGUCUCCCUUCCUCUUUUUUUUUUCUUCUGUGGUUUUACUCAAAAGGUAAACAAAAAUCUCUUAUUAUCUCUUAUAUGAAAAUUUCAUUCAAAAGAGAAAACCAUAUAUUACCUUCAUAUGGUGUAUUACUAAUGUUAAAGCAAAUUUUAAUAAAACCUUAGAAACAAAUCUAAUUUUAAUCAGUUUGACCAUAAGGUAAGAUUUCUAUAAACUUUUUAUAACCUUUUAUAAUUUUCUAUUAGAAAGCAGAUUAAUGCUCCUAGAAAACCCUGUUAUUUUGACACACUGGCCCAGACACUGCCCUUAAAUAAGUGUGCUUUUGAUAUUAUUUAAUUUAUAGAAAAAUUCUAUACUAAUCUUAUCCCUCAAAAUUCAGCCUUAUAAUAUCAUGCACCCACCUCUUCUACAAUAGUCCCUGGGCCUAGAGGGUUAUAGUAGUUUUAACUUCUGGCCCUCUGUCUCACAAAAACAGUUCAUUUUCAUUGUCACCUUCUCCCAGGUCUGAAAACAAGGCUUCAAAUGGUGUUUAUGCUCAAGAUUUAGCAGAGGUCAGUGCCUUUUUCAGACUCAGGAGUCAAAGGCCUAUAACAACAGCACAAGGGUUAAUUAAUAGAAUAUUUAUACCACAGAAAGUCCUAUCAUUCUAACAUAUCAUAAAUUAAAACACUGUGACUUGGUAUCUAGGAGUCACCACCUGCAGUACUGCAAACCACUGGAUUAAAGUAGUUAGGUUUACACCUUGCGUGUGUCUAAUUGCUAGCAUUCUAAUGACAGAGCUAUGACUAAAAGCAUUUUUUAAAUGUGAUAGGUCUUAUGCCAAACUUAUUAAAGCAAUACAAUUAACUUUACUCUCCAUCAUUAAAGAAAUGGUAAAGGCAAAUAUCAGUUUUGGAAAUUCAGUAUGAGAAUAAAUAUCUCCUUUCACUUAAUACCAUACAACAAAACAAGGACAAAGUAAAAAGAAGCACACAGUAAUUUCUAUUCAGCUAUUUAAAAGAGCAUCAUCACACAUUUCCAAGAUUAGUUUCUACAUACAGUACUGACAGCUCAUUAGGUAAUAUCCCUCACCAAAAUCUUCAAACCAGUGAAACACUUGCACAUAUUUUGUUUUCAAGUACACACAGGAGAAUCCAUCAUUGAUAACUGGCUUUGGAUCAAAGAUCACUAGAAAGUCUCACUUUUUUUUAUACUACUUAAUCCAAGUAAAUAUCAC
Long non-coding RNA from Cebus imitator (Panamanian white-faced capuchin), 7955 nucleotides. RefSeq lists it as uncharacterized. The record is from RefSeq and is a predicted model, not a curated record. Lineage: Eukaryota; Metazoa; Chordata; Mammalia; Primates; Cebidae. The transcript has 4 exons.